RNAcentral lists this non-coding RNA (86 nucleotides) under uncultured Phascolarctobacterium sp. Its description in RNAcentral is "Glycine riboswitch". It matches the Rfam family "Glycine riboswitch aptamer", at positions 9 to 86 of the family's 94-position model. Rfam says of the family: This family represents the bacterial glycine riboswitch. Lineage: Bacteria; Bacillati; Bacillota; Negativicutes; Acidaminococcales; Acidaminococcaceae. The record is from RNAcentral.
ACACAACUCUGGAGAGUCCCUUGAAUGGGCGCCGAAGGUGCACGGAUGGAAAUCCAUCCUUAUCUCUCAGGCCAAAGGACAGAGAA